GUCGCACGCUUUGCGUAGAUGAGGGAUGACGCAGGCACAGGCCUGAGCGUCGCACGCUUUGCGUAGAUGAGGGAUGGCGCCGGCGCAGGCCUGCGCGCCACGCGCUUUAGGUGGAUGAGGGAUGGCGCAGGUGCAGGCCUGCGCGCCUCACGCUUUAUGUACAUGAGGGAUGAGGCAGCACAGGAAUUGGCACAACCUGAAGUCAGCUCUGCAGCUUUCCAAGCUUCGUUCUGCGUGUCCUGUACUCAACAGUCAUCUCAUGCUGCAGGGUGGCUGCGUGUGCUCCGUACAUCACACCCAUAUUUCAGGGAGAAGACUGCACAUAUAACACAGCUCUGCAUGGAAAACCUUCCGCCUGGAGGGGUGGCUUCCUAGAGGUGUGGCGUUGCCCUCUGUCUUGAACAGGCUGUGAGCCGUUUUGUCAUUUGGGGUUUCUAGAUGCAAACAGCAGAAGCUGCUGGCCAAUUACCAAAGGGAACGUGCUGUUAGGAUAUCAGGGCCUGGGAGCUGCAGCAAUGUGGGCUGACAGCAGAGAGCUAAGGCACUUUCCGAGGUGACGAGCUGGGCUGCUAUGCUGGAGACGGCUGGGCAGAAGCAGUUAGCAGGGCAUUUCCUUGUGUCCUUAUCUCAAGAGUCACAGUUUCAGGAGUGAGCAUCUCAGAGGUCAGGGUUCAUUCACAUGCCACCUCCCUUCUCACUGUGUCAUUGGGGAGGGGCCGUCUGGACCCUCUGGCUCCUGUGGCAAGAAAUGGUCCCAUCAAGUCAUCCAAGGGCCUGGAAGCCUCCCAAGGAAAGCAGGAGGGCUGGGUGCUGAGCAGCGUCCAGCAGCAAAGGUAGGCUCCAGCCCCGCAGGUGUGGCUGCGCCAUCCCAGGGAACGUGCCCCAGCAAGUGCUGGUGCUGCUCUCACUACAGGUGGGGUUGGUUUCACUGGACAGGUGGCACUUCCUCACCUCUUGCCCUCUGGACCCACGGCAGGCACUUUCCAGGGCACAUCACGUGGGUGUGCGGUCUGGCUGCUGGGUCCACGCGGGUUCUCAAUCAUGACCUGGCUUGCAAGCUCUUUCCACAGUUGGAUAAAUGAAGCCGUUGGGGAAGUAUCCGCAAACUCUUACAGUGAGUAUGUGAUAAUGACACACGCGUGGCCCUUCUAAGACCUCCGCUAGGCAUUAUCAGUGACUGUGCUCGUGAGCGCUGACCUCCGCUAGGCGUUAUCAGGGACUGUGCUCGUGAGCGCCGACCUCCGCUAGGCGUUAUCAGGGACUGUGCUCGUGAGCGCGGACCUCCGCUAGGCGAUAUCAGGGACUGUGCUCAUGAGGGCGGACUUUCACCAGCCACGCUUCCGAGGAGUGGAGUCUUUCUCAGCUCUGCCUCUCCAAGAUGACCAUCUUGUGAAGACGAUGCGUUCUUUAUACACAAGUUCUGUGUGUGUGUGUGUGUGUUCCACACACAGGACCAAAGUUGAGAUAGGCGCACAUUUUCUUGGUCCCACUUGUGGCCCCAGUCGGCUGUCAGAAGUGGGUGUGCUCCACAUGUACCCACCAUGUCAGGGCACAGUGCUCACAUUUCACACCUCAGCAGGUGCCUUGAUGUUGACCAGAGGCCCCAAAAUCAUCUCUUUCUAUGACUUCUAGAUCUUAGAUUCCCAGGAACUGGGAAAUGCAGUCAGUAUCUUUUGGGUCCAAGAAACUUUGUCAGAGCCCUUGUGGGAGAACCAUAGAUUCUCACCAGAUAAACAGAAGAGCUUCGUGUUAGAGAAACCCGCCUGUCUCCCCACAUUCUCAGUUUUCUGGAGAGCAGCUGAAAGCCAUCUGGGUGGAGAUUAAGAGCUCCAACCGUGUAGCUUUGAUGUAUCGGGCAAGUUGCUUAAGCUCUUUAAUGCUGUUUCCUCAUUUAUUGUGUGAGGCCAAAAAUACCCAUUCCUUAAAGUUGUGAGGAUUAAAAACAGUAAUGAAAAGUGAGUGGCAAGUGCCGAGUACACAGUCAAGUACCUGAUACUUUUUAGUGUAAGGUAAGUAGCAAGAAAGCAUGAAAUUUAUUUUCAUUUACUCUUACUACAUGUGGUAAACCAUCUAUGCACAGAGCACUGCAUUGGGUGCCAUGAAUGACAGAAUAAGAGUACCAGGUGCAUGAAAAGCUUAAAAGACAAAUGAGACAGAGCUAGGCUGCAGAAGACUUAAAAAGUUGAUGUAUUUAACUUUUAAUGGACACACUGUACAUGUUUAUGGGGUACGAUUUGUUGUUUCCAUGCAUAUCUGUGUUGUGUAAUGAUCCAAUCAGGGUAGUGUGUGUGCCCAUUUCCUCAAGGGUGGAUCAUUAUGUGUAUCAUCGUGCAUCAUCAUGUAUCAUGCAUGUACCAUCAUCAUGCAUCAUUGUGCAUCAUCAUGCCUGUAUCAUUAUGUAUCACCUCAUGCAUAUAUUAUAAUGUAUCACCUC
Homo sapiens (human) is the source of this 2434-nucleotide long non-coding RNA. RefSeq annotates it as long independently transcribed non-coding RNA 200. The transcript is spliced from 3 exons. The record is from RefSeq and is marked predicted. Lineage: Eukaryota; Metazoa; Chordata; Mammalia; Primates; Hominidae.